UACGUAGGGGGCAAGCGUUGUCCGGAUUUAUUGGGCGUAAAGAGCGUGUAGGCGGCCAUACAGGUCAGCUGUGAAAACUCGAGGCUCAACCUCGAGACGUCGGUUGAAACCGUAUGGCUAGAGUCCGGAAGAGGAGAGUGGAAUUCCCGGUGUAGCGGUGAAAUGCGCGGAUAUCGGGAAGAACACCCAUGGCGAAGGCAGCUCUCUGGGACGGUACUGACGCUGAGGCACGAAAGCGUGGGGAGCAAACAGG
This 253-nucleotide ribosomal RNA is filed under the name uncultured bacterium. RNAcentral's name for it is "partial 16S ribosomal RNA". It matches the Rfam family "Bacterial small subunit ribosomal RNA", at positions 524 to 776 of the family's 1533-position model. The record is from RNAcentral.